This is a long non-coding RNA of Gadus macrocephalus (Pacific cod), 535 nucleotides long. RefSeq lists it as uncharacterized. NCBI's taxonomy places the organism in Eukaryota, Metazoa, Chordata, Actinopteri, Gadiformes, Gadidae. The transcript is spliced from 2 exons. The record is from RefSeq and is a predicted model, not a curated record.
ACGCCGGAAAGACCCGAUAUGGACAUCCCUUCAGGGGUAUUAAAAUAGUCACAUUCUUGGCAUUACGGUAAUUCAGUGUUGUUAAGUCGGUAUCUGCGGAAUAAACAAACGUUAUCCGCGCUGGGUGGCAUCGAUGGUCGUGUGUAGAUAUCGUCCUUGCUGGCCAUCCAAGAAAACGACCGCAUAGAUCGAGGUUGAAUUAAAUAAUUAAUGUAGAGCUAUUAAAAAAACAGUACCUCCUAUAAAAGUUCCGCGUCUUUCUACAGGAAGUCACUACAGGAAGAAUUAGUAACUUAAGAGAUGGGGGUUUGAUAUCAUAACCUGACUGGGCUGACUUAUCACUACUGGAAAACCCCCAGUGAUGGUUCAGCCUUUUACCCCCGACCCCCGCAGCGUUGCACCACAAACGUUGGCCCCCCCGUUGCCGCAGGCGAGCAGCUCCUACCUUAGUGGCGGCCCUCAGUAGGGGGUCCCUGCUCCCGUCGGUGGCGGCGUGCUCCAGGGACAGGCGGUCCAGGCUCAUGCUCUGGGAAAA